CCAUCCAGGUACACCGAUAACGUAAUACAGCUCUUCCUUUGUUCGAAACCGGUACUCGCAUAAACACAUCAAACACGUAAUGCAGUUUAUCCAAGACUUGAUAAGGACAUAGAUAUACAUGAGAAAGGUUCAAUUGUACACUUCAAAAGUACUUGAAUUCAUUUACAUCAAAAUUUCAAGUUUUCGAGGAGCAACUCAAAACUAGCUACAUAACUAGCUCAACUCAUUUCAAAACUUGAGUCCAACAGUGUCCCUGUAAGGAAAACAAAACAACGGGGGUGAGCUUGCGCUCGUGAGGUACCAAAUGCACAAGUACAUGAUAUGGCCAAAUAACAUAUAUGCAUAAGUGCCUUCAUUCAAACAUCCAUUUAUAAAAGGAUACAUUCGGCCCUCAAGGGCCGUUUCCGAGGUCCAUACUUGAUCGUACUCGUUGACACUCCGUCAACCAUCGAGGAUAACCAAGAACCGUAGACACCACUUCUCACCAUUUCCUUCCACCAUUCACCCCCUGAUCGGGCCCGCACACCUCAUAGUUUCAAAGGGUAAUACUCGAGUAUACCACAAGGUCGAGGAGAUAACACUCCACUCGCCUAUCAGAGACCCGAAGGCUCGUUAACGAAUCGCCCAAGCCCUUGCCGGCUCGACUCAAAUAACGGUCCAAGGGAAUGAGCUCAGUUUUCACAGAAAUAAUAGGGCAUUGCCCUAACAAAUAUCAAAUCACAUAUUCAUGAAAUUUCACAGUCCAACAGUAACAAUAGUGCAAGCAAGUGGUCAAGAGCGGUAAAGUACACCCUCGACCUAUUCAAGUCAUAUAACAAGUACAUUGAACCAUUUAAUGAUACACUCACCAAGCACGGCUCACGAAGCUUAUUCGGCAAACCUCAUUAUCUUGAUCAAGUUGAAAUCCUAAAACCAAAUAUCAAGUCAAGCAAAGGAAAAUUCUAACAUUAACAAGCUUCUAUUGCCUUUUGGCAUUUUAAUCACAAGUAAAGCUAUACCUAUCCGAUCAAAACAAAUCUUAUGGCGUUACGAAGCUAAAACAUAUGUCAACAUUUCUUAUGAAGAUUUCCAAGGCCAAAUCACACAUUUUCAGGAUCAAAUAUCGAAAUCUCGAAGAGGGCAGAAAACUGUCCGCAAAAUAGGGUCUAUGAACAGUCAAGGGUAUUUCAGUCAAUUCACAAGCUACAGUACUCCAAUCACUCUAAAAUUUUGCAGGUAACUAGCUAACUCAUAUAUCUACAAGUUUCAUGUUUUGAGCAAGAGCCGAAUCAGUCUUUAACAUGGUCAAAUGUACAGUACGAAAACAGGGCAGAAAUAAUACAACAAAAGCUGAAAUUACACUUCCAAGCCAAUCUUUGCAAAUAACCAUCACUAACCACAAUUAAGGGCUAGAAAUCCUCACUUAACAUGAGACUAGUCUAUACUAGUCAUGUACAUGCCAAAACAAGGAUGAAUGAACUUAAACAAAGCUUAGAAAUGUCACCAUUAUGGACUCUUAACAACCCAACAUCCCAUUUACAAGAAUUUCCAUAAAUUUAAUCAAGAUCACACAACUUCAAAUCAAUCAUAUACUCUCCAAAAAUGGGACAGUAUUACCCCUUAAUUUAACACAUUUCCAACCUACCAUUCAAUACCAAAUAUAUAUCAAUUCAACUCCAUUUGUACAUACAAUUUAUAGACUAGUAAAUAUACUCAAUUAGGGCCACAAUGCCCCUCAAGCAAGCCAAUUAGAAGCUUAUAAGCCAACUAUUAGAAUUUUCCCCAAAUCGAAACCCUAGAAACCGGAAAUCACACUACAAGCAUAAAUUUUCUGCAAUCGAUCACAAUUAACGCAUAAAAGCUUCAAUUAACACCAUUUCAAUCCAUCAAUCCAAUCCUAAUCAUAACUUUCAUAUAAAAUCAGAAAAAUACCCAAUAAAUCAACAAUUCACCAUCAAUUCCUUCAACCCAUGAAAUACUUCACAAUAUAACACAUUUAACCACCACAAAUCAUUAAUUAACCAAUAUUAGACCAAAAGGAAACUUGUUUAUGCCACUUACCUCAAAUUCAAGAAACCAUCAACAUAGAGCCUCCCCUCCAAAAACAAUCCAUCAAAAGCUUUACACCACCAUAGUGCACCCUUGUGUGAAAUAGUUUGCAAAAUCAUUGGUUAAAACUCAAGAUAUUUGCCAAAAUUGAACUAGGAAAAUUG
This 2192-nucleotide long non-coding RNA is filed under the name Coffea arabica (coffee). Its description in RNAcentral is "long non-coding RNA (CARA_LNC006371)". The record is from RNAcentral. Lineage: Eukaryota; Viridiplantae; Streptophyta; Magnoliopsida; Gentianales; Rubiaceae.